Molecule: ribosomal RNA, 480 nt
Filed under: uncultured bacterium
Lineage: Bacteria
Description: partial 16S ribosomal RNA
Rfam family: Bacterial small subunit ribosomal RNA
Source: RNAcentral
GAUGAACGCUAGCGGCAGGCCUAACACAUGCAAGUCGAGGGGUAGAAGGAGCUUGCUCCUUUGAGACCGGCGCACGGGUGCGUAACGCGUAUGCAAUCUACCUUGUACAGGGGAAUAGCCCAGAGAAAUUUGGAUUAAUGCCCCAUAGUAUAUAACCUUCGCAUGUUGGUUAUAUUAAAGUUCCAACGGUACAAGAUGAGCAUGCGUCCCAUUAGUUAGUUGGUAAGGUAACGGCUUACCAAGACGAUGAUGGGUAGGGGUCCUGAGAGGGAGAUCCCCCACACUGGUACUGAGACACGGACCAGACUCCUACGGGAGGCAGCAGUGAGGAAUAUUGGUCAAUGGUCGCAAGACUGAACCAGCCAUGCCGCGUGCAGGAAGACGGUCCUAUGGAUGGUAAACUGCUUUUAGACAGGAAGAAACCCUCUCACGUGUGGGAGCUUGACGGUACUGUAGGAAUAAGGAUCGGCUAACUCCGUG